This 450-nucleotide ribosomal RNA is filed under the name uncultured bacterium. RNAcentral describes it as "partial 16S ribosomal RNA". It matches the Rfam family "Bacterial small subunit ribosomal RNA", at positions 338 to 795 of the family's 1533-position model. The record is from RNAcentral.
CCUACGGGGGGCAGCAGUGGGGAAUAUUGGACAAUGGGCGCAAGCCUGAUCCAGCAAUGCCGCGUGUGUGAAGAAGGCCUUAGGGUUGUAAAGCACUUUCAGCAAUGAAGAAGUUGUAUUGGCUAAUAUCCAAUAUAAUUGACGUUAGUUGCAGAAGAAGUACUGGCUAACUCUGUGCCAGCAGCCGCGGUAAUACAGAGAGUGCAAGCGUUAAGCGGAAUGAUUGGGCGUAGUUAGUGAAUAUGUUGUUGAAAUCCCUGGGCUUAACCUAGGAAUUGCAGUUAAUACUUUUUAUCUAGAGUAUUGUAGGGGGAAGUGGAAUUUCCGGUGUAGCGGUGAAAUGCGUAGAUAUCGGAAGGAACACCAGUGGCGAAGGCGACUUCCUGGACAAAUACUGACACUGAGACACGAAAGCGUGGGGAGCAAACAGGAUUAGAUACCCUGGUAGUC